RNAcentral lists this ribosomal RNA (253 nucleotides) under uncultured bacterium. RNAcentral's name for it is "partial 16S ribosomal RNA". It matches the Rfam family "Bacterial small subunit ribosomal RNA", at positions 524 to 776 of the family's 1533-position model. The record is from RNAcentral.
UACGUAGGGUGCGAGCGUUGUCCGGAAUUAUUGGGCGUAAAGGGCUCGUAGGCGGUUUGUCGCGUCGGGAGUGAAAACACCGGGCUUAACUCGGUGCUGGCUUUCGAUACGGGCAGACUAGAGGUAUUCAGGGGAGAACGGAAUUCCUGGUGUAGCGGUGAAAUGCGCAGAUAUCAGGAGGAACACCGGUGGCGAAGGCGGUUCUCUGGGCAUUACCUGACGCUGAGGAGCGAAAGUGUGGGGAGCGAACAGG